Acanthochromis polyacanthus (spiny chromis) is the source of this 1379-nucleotide long non-coding RNA. RefSeq lists it as uncharacterized. The record is from RefSeq and is a predicted model, not a curated record. The transcript is spliced from 3 exons. NCBI's taxonomy places the organism in Eukaryota, Metazoa, Chordata, Actinopteri, Pomacentridae.
AAUAGUGUUAAUUUUUUUCUUUUUGUCUGUUUAUAUAUUAACUUCCUCAAGGGUGGGGAAAAUGUUACUGUGGCCCAUUACAUGGUGAGCCAGAGAGGAACAGGCCGACAUUCCCACAUCACUGGACGCAGUGUACAUAAUCAAAGAAUUGAAAGAUUAUGGCGAGAUGUGUAUGGAAAUGUCCUUGACUUGUUCCACACACUAUUUCUCAAUUUGGAAGUGGAAGGGUUUCUAAACCCUGAAAAUGAACUGGAGUUAUUCAUUCUCCACUGGACCUACGUCCCACAGCUGCAGCAGCAUCUUCAGGCAUUCAAGGAAGCCUGGACUCACCACAGUUUGAGGACAAAGAGAGGGCAAUCCCCCAUGCAACUGUGGCUUAGUCAGCCACGUGAGGGAAAUGCUGCUGAUCCAGUUGAGGUUGCUGCUGAUUAUGGGAUAGACUGGACAGGACCUCACACCCCAUACCCAGAAGGCGUCACUCUACCUGAUGCACAACUACCCCGGCAGCUUACACAGGCUGAAGUUACAUCAUUGCCUGAUCCGGCCGUCCCUUUUUCUGCUGCACUACGGGCAUACAUGGAUACAGUGUAAAUUCUUAAGGACAUUUUUCAACAAACCUAGACAUAUCACAACUCACCUUAACAGAAUCAGAAUGAAACGAACAAGACUCAAAAGAAUGCUGCAAAUUUUUGUUGCAUAAGUUGUGAAUUUCAAAUAAAUGCCUUUGAAAACAACAAUGUACAAAGACACAGUAAAGGGAUAUAAAACUGCUUUUAUUGCAUGCUGAAUAGUUUGACAGCUUUUAAAAGCAUUAGAACAAUGUGCCAAUAAAAAGGUUUUUUAAUAGAACUGACAAUUCUUUUCUUUAACUUCCAAACAUUACAACUGCUCUCCAAAGACAGUCUUCCACAAGUGUGGAAACAUUUUGUUGUCGCAGAAAUGCACAAACCUGAACCAUCGUUUUUGAAUCUUUCACAUAAAAAUAAGCUAUUUCAUUAAUUCACUCUCUCAACUCUCACCUUUAAACGGUCUUCUUACAACAACUCACAGGCUGCCACAUUUCUGUUACAUGUUAAAUGUCACACACAACAAUUUGAGCCUGACAGCAGCAAAAACAAGAACUGUUGUUCUGAAGCAUGUAUUAGCCUCACAAGCUUACAUCACAUCAGAGCAAUUGUCAAAACUACACAUAUCUGUUUUAACAUUUUAUGUGUUUUGGUAGCAUUAUUUGGACUCUCACACAACAUACGAGAUGGUAAGCCAUACUGAGCAACAGCUGACCUGAACAGUGGUGGAUUUGUUGUUUGUAGCUGCUCCUAUGUAAACUAUGAGCCUGCUAAAUCCAUCCACUCCUGCAUGGAUCACGAUUUGCCGUAUAU